Molecule: ribosomal RNA, 251 nt
Filed under: uncultured bacterium
Lineage: Bacteria
Description: partial 16S ribosomal RNA
Rfam family: Bacterial small subunit ribosomal RNA
Source: RNAcentral
UACGGAGGAUGCGAGCGUUAUCCGGAUUUAUUGGGUUUAAAGGGUGCGUAGGCGGGCUUUUAAGUCAGCGGUAAAAAUUCGGGGCUCAACCCCGUCCGGCCGUUGAAACUGGGGCCUUGAGUGGGCGAGAAGAAGGCGGAAUGCGUGGUGUAGCGGUGAAAUGCAUAGAUAUCACGCAGAACCCCGAUUGCGAAGGCAGCCUUCCGGCGCCCUACUGACGCUGAGGCACGAAAGUGCGGGGAUCGAACAGG